GGAUAACCUACCCUUAGGACUGGGAUAACCUUGGGAAACUGAGGAUAAUACCGGAUAGGCAAUUUUUCCUGUAAUGGUUCUUUGUUUAAAUGUUUUUUCGCCUAAGGAUGGGUCUGCGGCCGAUUAGGUAGUUGGUUAGGUAAUGGCUUACCAAGCCGUUGAUCGGUACGGGUUGUGAGAGCAAGAGCCCGGAGAUGGAACCUGAGACAAGGUUCCAGGCCCUACGGGGCGCAGCAGGCGCGAAACCUCCGCAAUGUGAGAAAUCGCGACGGGGGGAUCCCAAGUGCCAUUCUUAACGGGAUGGCUUUUCAUUAGUGUAAAAAGCUUUUGGAAUAAGAGCUGGGCAAGACCGGUGCCAGCCGCCGCGGUAACACCGGCAGCUCUAGUGGUAGCAACUUUUAUUGGGCCUAAAGCGUCCGUAGCCGGUUUAAUAAGUCUCUGGUGAAAUCCUGUAGCUUAACUGUGGGAAUUGCUGGAGAUACUAUUAGACUUGAGACCGGGAGAGGUUGGAGGUACUCCCAGGGUAGAGGUGAAAUUCUGUAAUCCUGGGAGGACCGCCUGUUGCGAAGGCGUCUAACUGGAACGGUUCUGACGGUGAGGGACGAAAGUUAGGGGCGCGAACCGGAUUAGAUACCCGGGUAGUCCUAACUGUAAACGAUGCGGACUUGGUGUUGGGGUGGCUUUGAGCUGUCCCAGUGCCGAAAGGGAAGCUGUUAAGUCCGCCGCCUGGGAAGUACGGUCGCAAGACUGAAACU
Molecule: ribosomal RNA, 755 nt
Filed under: uncultured archaeon
Lineage: Archaea
Description: bacterial SSU rRNA
Rfam family: Archaeal small subunit ribosomal RNA
Source: RNAcentral